Long non-coding RNA from Limulus polyphemus (Atlantic horseshoe crab), 515 nucleotides. RefSeq lists it as uncharacterized. The transcript is spliced from 2 exons. Lineage: Eukaryota; Metazoa; Arthropoda; Merostomata; Xiphosura; Limulidae. The record is from RefSeq and is a predicted model, not a curated record.
UUGUCAGUAAUCUGUAGGUGUUGUGUCUGGUGACUUGAAUAAUAUGAACAACUUGUCAGUAAUCUGUAGGUGUUGUGUCUGGUGACUUGAAUAACAUGAACAACUUGUCAGUAAUCUGUAAGUGUUGUGUCUGGUGACUUGAAUAACAUGAACAACUUGUCAGUAAUCUGUAAGUGUUGUGUCUGGUGACUUGAAUAACAUAAACAACUUGUCAGUAAUCUGUAGCUGUUGUGUCUGGUGACUUGACUUGAAUAACAUGAACAACUUGUCAGUAAUCUGUACGUGUUGUGUCUGGUGACUUGACUUGAAUAACAUAAACAACUUGUCAGUAAUCUGUAGCUGUUGUGUCUGGUGACUUGAAUAACAUGAACAACUUGUCAGUAAUCUGUAAGUGUUGUGUCUGGUGACUUGAAUAACAUGAACAACUUGUCAGUAAUCUGUAGGUGUUGUGUCUGGUGACUUGAAUAACAUGAACAACUUGUCAGUAAUCUGUAAGUGUUGUGUCUGGUGACUUG